RNAcentral lists this ribosomal RNA (746 nucleotides) under Acinetobacter baumannii. RNAcentral describes it as "bacterial SSU rRNA". It matches the Rfam family "Bacterial small subunit ribosomal RNA", at positions 56 to 797 of the family's 1533-position model. The record is from RNAcentral. Lineage: Bacteria; Pseudomonadati; Pseudomonadota; Gammaproteobacteria; Moraxellales; Moraxellaceae.
UGCAGUCGAGCGGGGGAAGGUAGCUUGCUACCGGACCUAGCGGCGGACGGGUGAGUAAUGCUUAGGAAUCUGCCUAUUAGUGGGGGACAACAUCUCGAAAGGGAUGCUAAUACCGCAUACGUCCUACGGGAGAAAGCAGGGGAUCUUCGGACCUUGCGCUAAUAGAUGAGCCUAAGUCGGAUUAGCUAGUUGGUGGGGUAAAGGCCUACCAAGGCGACGAUCUGUAGCGGGUCUGAGAGGAUGAUCCGCCACACUGGGACUGAGACACGGCCCAGACUCCUACGGGAGGCAGCAGUGGGGAAUAUUGGACAAUGGGGGGAACCCUGAUCCAGCCAUGCCGCGUGUGUGAAGAAGGCCUUAUGGUUGUAAAGCACUUUAAGCGAGGAGGAGGCUACUUUAGUUAAUACCUAGAGAUAGUGGACGUUACUCGCAGAAUAAGCACCGGCUAACUCUGUGCCAGCAGCCGCGGUAAUACAGAGGGUGCGAGCGUUAAUCGGAUUUACUGGGCGUAAAGCGUGCGUAGGCGGCUUAUUAAGUCGGAUGUGAAAUCCCCGAGCUUAACUUGGGAAUUGCAUUCGAUACUGGUGAGCUAGAGUAUGGGAGAGGAUGGUAGAAUUCCAGGUGUAGCGGUGAAAUGCGUAGAGAUCUGGAGGAAUACCGAUGGCGAAGGCAGCCAUCUGGCCUAAUACUGACGCUGAGGUACGAAAGCAUGGGGAGCAAACAGGAUUAGAUACCCUGGUAGUCCA